CGUGGGUAACCUGCCUUAUAUGGGGGAUAGCCUUUCGAAAGGAAGAUUAAUACCGCAUAAGAUUGUAGUAUCGCAUGAUAUAGCAAUUAAAGGAGCAAUCCGCUAUAAGAUGGACCCGCGUCGCAUUAGCUAGUUGGUGAGGUAAUGGCUCACCAAGGCGACGAUGCGUAGCCGACCUGAGAGGGUGAUCGGCCACAUUGGGACUGAGACACGGCCCAGACUCCUACGGGAGGCAGCAUG
Molecule: ribosomal RNA, 240 nt
Filed under: uncultured bacterium
Lineage: Bacteria
Description: partial 16S ribosomal RNA
Rfam family: Bacterial small subunit ribosomal RNA
Source: RNAcentral